This 376-nucleotide ribosomal RNA is filed under the name Mimosestes acaciestes. Its description in RNAcentral is "partial 12S ribosomal RNA". Lineage: Eukaryota; Metazoa; Arthropoda; Insecta; Coleoptera; Chrysomelidae. The record is from RNAcentral.
UUCUUUCUAGAUACACUUUCCAGUACAUCUACUUUGUUACGACUUAUUUCAUUUUAAAAUGAAAGCGACGGGCGAUAUGUACAUAUUUUAGAGCUAAAAUCAUUUUAAAUAAAUUUAUUAAAAUUACAUUCAAAUCCAAAUUCAAAUUUUUAUAAUAAAAAUUAUCCUUAAAUAAAUUUAAUGUAACCCAUCUCUCCUUUAAUAUAAACUACACCUUGAUCUGAUUUAUUUUUUAAUAAAAAUUCUUGAAUAUUAAUAUUCUAAUAAAAUAUUCAAACUACGACGAUAUGUAAAUUAAUAAUUAAAGUAAAUAUUAUCGUGGACUAUCAAUUACAGGACAGGUUCCUCUGAAAAGACUAAAAUACCGCCAAAUUUU